This 1100-nucleotide long non-coding RNA is filed under the name Ursus americanus (American black bear). RNAcentral describes it as "lncRNA (ENSUAMG00000017128.1)". The record is from RNAcentral. Lineage: Eukaryota; Metazoa; Chordata; Mammalia; Carnivora; Ursidae.
UCGCAGGCGCGGGUCCUACCUGCCCAUGGCCCCUCACCACGCAACCCUAGGCAGGUCUCUUAUUUUCACUAUCCUCAAGGGGAAUGAGUUCCUGGCAGAAGAGGGAAGAGACGGGGACAGAUGAGAAAGAAAGCCCCUCCGUGGCUCUGCGACCAGUGUUAACCACAGGACAAGGCUGCUCUCAGGAACCCAAGGCCCCGGAAGGACCCGUUCACUUGGCUACUACGUUAAACCCGCCGAGGCAAGCCCGACAUCCCUCCUGUGUGCCAGCUUCACCAGACAAGUAGGAGAUGGAUGGAGGGGCGGGACACUUGGCCUCCAGGGACAGCCCCUGAGUUCUCCCAGUGCCCCCAGGGCCUCCCCCAGGCUUUUGGAACCCUCAGUUUCAUUUCUUGGAGCCUGGCUCUGAUUGUACACAAUAGAGGCUGAGCCAACGGGACGUUCAGACAGGUACCCCGCUUACCUUUAAGCACAAAAGCCUUUGGAAUGCCAGGUGUCCCACACCAGCCUCGAGCUCCAAAGACUUUGCAGUGAUGUCAUUAUUCUUAGCAUCUUUGUAACACACACAAACUGCGUAAGUCCAGGAAUCAGACUAUCACAUGAACCAGGACUGAAAUGACCAUCACUCUCCCAGCGGGUCCCUGUACCUCCUCCACCCCCCCAGUUCUACUCCCCCUCCUGGUGUUCCUGGCCUGGCUAGCACUGCCAUCCACGCAGCGCUCCAUCCAGAAAUCUGUGAGUCAUCUUGGACUCCUCCUUUUCACUCCCCAUACCAUUUGGUCAGGCCACCUCCCGAACAGUUCCUAAAUUCAUCCAGCGCUCUCCAUCUGCCCCGUCAUCAUCCUAGCGCAAGAGUGCCUGAAAUGCUAAAAUUAUCCCUUAAUUCAGGGGUUAACAAACCUUUUCUAUAAAGGGCCAGAUAACUAAAUAUUUUAGGCUCUGCGGACCAAGAGGCAAAAUUAAGGAUAUUAUGUAGGUCCUUAUGUAUUAUAGUCUCUGUCAAAACUGUUCAGUACUGCCAUUGUAGGCAAAAGCAGCCAUCAACAAUACAUAAGUGAAUGCACAUGGCUGUGUUCCAAUAAAACUUUAUUUAAAUUCCA